This 214-nucleotide non-coding RNA is filed under the name Streptomyces afghaniensis 772. RNAcentral describes it as "Bacterial large subunit ribosomal RNA". It matches the Rfam family "Bacterial large subunit ribosomal RNA", at positions 1036 to 1235 of the family's 2925-position model. Lineage: Bacteria; Bacillati; Actinomycetota; Actinomycetes; Kitasatosporales; Streptomycetaceae. The record is from Rfam by way of RNAcentral.
CGACUAAGGCCCCUAAGCCGUACGCUAAGUGGGAAACGGAUGUGGAGUCGCACAGACAACCAGGAGGUUGGCUUAGAAGCAGCCACCCUUGAAAGAGUGCGUAAUAGCUCACUGGUCUAGUGAUUCCGCGCCGACAAUGCAGCGGGGCUCAAGCGUACCGCCGAAGUCGUGUCAUUGCGAUAUAUACCCCCAAGGGAUCGUGAUGGGUAGGGGA